GCUUUAGAUAAAAAGGAAAAAACUCUGCUCUGCGAGGAGGCCCUCAGCUCUACACAGAACGAAAUGCCAGAAACAGAAGGAAUGGAACAAGAUGUCUCCAGGAGAGGGCUUGUGUUACUGGGAGAACGAGUGGAGUCAGUUGGAAGGAAGAAGGAUCAUGUCUUCAUGGAGGAUGAGUAGCUCCACUGGUUAUGCCAAAGGUGAUUACAAGAUUUUUCUCCUCCAAACACCCUUCUGAUCUCUGCUUCCAAUUCUCUUGGCCCUGACAGGGUGGGAGCUC
This 280-nucleotide long non-coding RNA is filed under the name Ictidomys tridecemlineatus (thirteen-lined ground squirrel). RNAcentral's name for it is "lncRNA (ENSSTOG00000032951.1)". Lineage: Eukaryota; Metazoa; Chordata; Mammalia; Rodentia; Sciuridae. The record is from RNAcentral.